AAGAUGAUUCUUCAAUAGAAUUGCCAUCAUUAUUCAGGGCAAUUGGCUCUAUCUGAAACACCUCCAUGGAAGACCUGGAGUAUGAAAUCCAACGUGAAAUCCCCAGCCUUGUUUAAGGCAGCUUCAGUUUCAGGGGUGUUUGCAGAGACAAUUCAGGGGGGUUAUAGAAAGAAUAAGCAAAGCGAAGUCCUAUUACAAUAUGGAGAGAUAAGAGGGCUCGAGAGGAGGUGGAAAAUGUUCAAGUGUUGUGUACUUAAGAAAUUUAUGCAGAAGGGGAAAGAAACGUAUAAAAUAUUUCGACACUUGCG
This 308-nucleotide unclassified non-coding RNA is filed under the name Hevea brasiliensis (rubber tree). The record is from RNAcentral. Lineage: Eukaryota; Viridiplantae; Streptophyta; Magnoliopsida; Malpighiales; Euphorbiaceae.